GGAGUAUACUGUCUCAUAAAGAUAAAAUAAAAUUAAUUUAACAGUAAUAAAGCUGUUAUAAACAAACAAGACGACAAGACCCUGAAUUCGAACUAAAAUGUCAGCUGGGGAGGCUAGUAAAUAAAACCUUAAUUAAGCAUAAAUAAACUCACUAAUAAAAAUAUAUCAAGUUACCGCAGGGAUAACAGCGCUACCUCUUUCUAAAGCCCAAAUAAAAAAAGAGAUCUACGACCUCGAUGUUGAAUUAAUUACCCUUUUUAGCGUAAAAACUAAAAAAGGAGGUCUGUUCGACCAAUAAACAAUU
Molecule: ribosomal RNA, 304 nt
Filed under: Physocyclus globosus
Lineage: Eukaryota; Metazoa; Arthropoda; Arachnida; Araneae; Pholcidae
Description: partial 16S ribosomal RNA
Source: RNAcentral